Molecule: ribosomal RNA, 435 nt
Filed under: uncultured bacterium
Lineage: Bacteria
Description: partial 16S ribosomal RNA
Rfam family: Bacterial small subunit ribosomal RNA
Source: RNAcentral
AGCGAACGCUGGCGGCAGGCUUAACACAUGCAAGUCGAGCGGGCACUUUCGGGUGUCAGCGGCGGACGGGUGAGUAACGCGUGGGAACGUGCCCUCUGGUUCGGAAUAACUCAGGGAAACUUGCGCUAAUACCGGAUACGCCCUUUUGGGGAAAGGCUUGCUGCCGGAGGAUCGGCCCGCGUCUGAUUAGCUAGUUGGUGAGGUAACGGCUCACCAAGGCGACGAUCAGUAGCUGGUCUGAGAGGAUGAUCAGCCACACUGGGACUGAGACACGGCCCAGACUCCUACGGGAGGCAGAAGUGGGGAAGAUUGGACAAUGGGCGCAAGCCUGAUCCAGCCAUGCCGCGUGAGUGUUCAAGGCCUUAGGGUUGUAAAGCUCUUUUAUCCGGGACGAUAAUGACGGUACCGGAGGAAUAAGCCACGGCUAACUUCGUG